Molecule: unclassified non-coding RNA, 301 nt
Filed under: Hevea brasiliensis (rubber tree)
Lineage: Eukaryota; Viridiplantae; Streptophyta; Magnoliopsida; Malpighiales; Euphorbiaceae
Source: RNAcentral
AGAAAAUUCAUCGAGAAGUACAACUUUGAUCCAGUGAACGAGAAGCCCCUUCCCGGACGUUACGAAUGGGUGAAAGUAAACCAUUAGACAUGGACAUAAAGGAGAGGGGAGGUUACAAAUUACAACAUUCCGUCGGCCUCGUUUCAUCUCUAGACUUUAGACAAAGAUAGGAAACCAUAGCAUGUAAGUUUUAGUUUUACAACUGGUGUUGUGAGUGGUGAAACCUCUAUUUCCCCUCACUCUCUGACUUGUAAAGUCUUUUAGAAGGUUAGACUAAUAUGAUCUGUGUAACAUAACAGUU